Temnothorax curvispinosus is the source of this 895-nucleotide RNA transcript. It is a transcript of the gene named phosphatidylglycerophosphatase and protein-tyrosine phosphatase 1, with no coding region annotated. NCBI's taxonomy places the organism in Eukaryota, Metazoa, Arthropoda, Insecta, Hymenoptera, Formicidae. The record is from RefSeq and is a predicted model, not a curated record. The transcript has 6 exons.
UGCAUCACUUUCCCCACCAGUCUUAUGAUCCUGCCACGUUCAUCUUGCGGGAGUAGGUCAUCCGAGCCACAUAUGUUAAAUUCACUUUUGUCAUGGAAGACAUUUCUUCCGUCUUUCAUUCGUUGUAAUCUAUAUGCAAACCAUACGUAUCCGAAAAUGUUUGCGAGGGUAACGUUUUAUCCAACCUUACUUUAUAACGUCGUCAUGGAAAAGAUUACGACCCGGAACUGGUACGAUAGGAUAGACGAGACUGUUGUACUGGGCGCCUUACCGUUUCGACGAAUGACCAAGCAGUUAAUCGACGAUGAAAAUAUCAAGGCUGUCGUGUCCAUGAAUGAGGAUUACGAGUUGUCUUUGUUAUCCAACACAGAUAAGGAAUGGCGCAGGUACAAUGUAGAAUUUCUGCAAUUGUCUACAACGGACAUCUUUCAAGCACCUUCUCAAGAGAAACUGGAGGAAGGUGUAAACUUUAUUAAUAAAUUCCGCAACGUAUCAAAUGAAAAAUUUAGUCAUACAGGUAUCGUCGAUGGUCGCGACCAAUCUGGCACGGUUUACGUUCAUUGUAAAGCAGGAAGAACCAGAAGCGCGACAUUGGUCGCAUGCUAUCUAAUAACAAAAAACAAUUGGACGCCUGAAGAAGCGGUUGAUUACAUGCGAACGAAGAGGCCACAUAUAUUGCUCCAUACAGCUCAAUGGUCCGCGCUAAAGCAAUUUUACACGAGACAUUUACGACCUACAUCUUAGCUGAAAUUUUUUGUGAAUUAUUUCGUUGAUGUUUAUACGAAUGGGAAAUAAUAUAAAUAGAUUUCAUAUUUGCGACUAACAUGGGUUUGAAUCCCUUGAUAGGUCCGUGCUCUGCAUUAAAGAUUUGAAGUACAAUAUCCAUCCAAGUUUG